RNAcentral lists this ribosomal RNA (468 nucleotides) under uncultured bacterium. Its description in RNAcentral is "partial 16S ribosomal RNA". It matches the Rfam family "Bacterial small subunit ribosomal RNA", at positions 28 to 507 of the family's 1533-position model. The record is from RNAcentral.
GACGAACGCUGGCGGCGUGCUUAACACAUGCAAGUCGAACGGAAAGGCCCUGCUUUUGUGGGGUGCUCGAGUGGCGAACGGGUGAGUAACACGUGAGUAACCUGCCCUUGACUUUGGGAUAACUUCAGGAAACUGGGGCUAAUACCGGAUAGGAGCUCCUGCUGCAUGGUGGGGGUUGGAAAGUUUCGGCGGUUGGGGAUGGACUCGCGGCUUAUCAGCUUGUUGGUGGGGUAGUGGCUUACCAAGGCUUUGACGGGUAGCCGGCCUGAGAGGGUGACCGGCCACAUUGGGACUGAGAUACGGCACAGACUCCUACGGGAGGCAGCAGUGGGGAAUAUUGCACGAUGGGCGGAAGCCUGAUGAAGCAACGCCGCGUGCGGGAUGACGGCCUUCGGGUUGUAAACCGCUUUCGCCUGUGACGAAGCGUGAGUGACGGUAAUGGGUAAAGAAGCACCGGCUAACUACGUG